Molecule: long non-coding RNA, 635 nt
Organism: Gymnodraco acuticeps
Lineage: Eukaryota; Metazoa; Chordata; Actinopteri; Perciformes; Bathydraconidae
Exons: 2
Source: RefSeq, a predicted model, not a curated record
ACCACAGACACCAGAAUGAUGUAAUUUAACAACAGAAAAAGGCAGAAAUUGCAUUGGACCCGCCCCCCGACGACGCCGGCCAAUAGGAGAAGACCUCCGAUGACAACAGGAAGAGCAAGCCAAGAAUUGACCUCUUGCUACCGGGUGACCUGGACUGACCGGGCGGAUGAGGAGAGCGCCUCCACUCGCACAUUUCAUUUUGUACACCACCGCAUCUUUUGUGUAAUUAAAUGCUGUUAACUUUUAUAAGCUUCCCUUGACUCUUUUCAGUCUCUCCUGCCUUCGGGGUUAUAGAAUACACUAACAUGGCGUCCCUGGGUGGGCUCUGAAGCGGGAUAGAGCUGGAAAAGAGGGGAAUGCUGCAAGCUAACUAGCAUCACACUAGGCUGCAGAAAAUGAGUUUUUGGCUGGGCCUAAACGAAAGAAAAAGGCAGAAAUUGCAUUGGACCCGCCCCCCGACGACGCCGGCCAAUAGGAGAAGACCUCCGAUGACAACAGGAAGAGCAAGUCAAGGAUUGACCUCUUGCUACCGGGUGACCUGGACUGACCGGGCGGAUGAGGAGAGCGCCUCCACUCGCACAUUUCAUUUUGUACACCACCGCAUCUUUUGUGUAAUUAAAUGCUGUUAACUUUUA